GCUUACGGCCACACCACCCUGAGCGCGCCCUGCUCUCGUCUGAUCUCGGAAGCUAAGCAGGGUCGGGCCUGGUUAGUACUUGGAUGGGAGACCGCCUGGGAAUACCAGGUGCCGUAAGCU
This 120-nucleotide ribosomal RNA is filed under the name Lates calcarifer (barramundi perch). Lineage: Eukaryota; Metazoa; Chordata; Actinopteri; Centropomidae. The record is from RNAcentral.